UUUUUGUUUGCUAACAUCGGCCCGCAACCGGGGUGGUUCGAGGGAAGCCGGUGCAAGUCCGGCGCGGCCCCCGCCACUGUAACCGGGGACGGAAGCUCGAAAAGCCACUGGGGCGUGCGGUGGAAGCUGGCGUCCUGGGAAGGCGAGCUUACCGGGUGAUCCGGAGCCAGGAGACCUGCCACCCCAAAAAAACGCAC
Molecule: non-coding RNA, 197 nt
Filed under: Thermoanaerobaculum aquaticum
Lineage: Bacteria; Pseudomonadati; Acidobacteriota; Thermoanaerobaculia; Thermoanaerobaculales; Thermoanaerobaculaceae
Source: RNAcentral